AUCUCUGCAGUAUUCCUUCAGCCUCACGGAAAAUAUAAUUAAAUGGCUAAAACUUCUGCAAAUUUUCCAAGUCUUAUGGUGAUCCUGGAUCUCUUCUCUGGUACAGGUACCUUGGCCUUCAAGCAUAGUCAGACAAGUGGAAAGAACUGGAAACACCUGGACCAGGCUUGGUGAAUGCCUUGUAGCUGCAGCAGAAUCUGGACUGGACCAGUAACUUGGGAUGCCAAAAGUGAAAGAGAGAGACUCAAAUCCAGCUGUGAGUUACUAUCACCUGUACUAAAGGGCAAAACCAGCACAUGAAUUGGAUUUGGCCAUCUGUGAACCCUGACUUUGGAAAAUUAUUCUUCUCUACAAAAUACUGGGAAAUCCCUGGCUGGUAUGACUGUACAAAGUUCUAAUGAGGCAUAGACAUGUGCCAAGAAGAAGAAUGCUGCACAGAAGGUGUUUCAUUCUGACUGUAGGAGCUAAAAGAAAAUGAAAUGUGGGGUUUUGAAUACUGGUGAGGACAGAAGAAGAGAAGAAAGGAUUCCUGGGGUAGAUAAAUGAAACCAACAGGCAUUGGCUACAAGAACAUGAGCUUUUAAGCUAGAUUUCAGAAAUUACUUUGCUUCCUGAGGGCUUUGCUUCAUUGGUUAAAAUAGGUGCAUGUGUUUGAGUAGCUGGGAUUCAGCAAGAAAACACCAAUCAAUUACUCUGAAAGCAUGAGACUCCCCAGGGGCAGAAACCAAAGGCAAAAACUGGGCUGUUACAGGUGUGGGACCAAAUUAGUAACACAAUAUGAGAAUUUUUGGCUGCAGAGAUAAGUGGUCAGUGGUACUUGUAAGGAGUAAGUUAAAUGUGGAAUGCCAACCUCAUCUCUUAAAUGUGGGGAGCAAUGAAUCCACAGUAAAUGUUUCUUUUCUCUGCUACAGGGUGAGUUCAUCUCCUGUUAUUUUAUCUCCUUGUCUGUCCAGCUGGGAUGGACUAAAUUCUGAAGUAGCUGAAGAGAUAGAAGAUCUAGAAAAAACCUGAACACUGCAGCUGCUGUGCCUCUGGUGUUGUUAGUUACCUUACCCAUGUAUUUGUAUUUACCUUAAAAGUUUAGAAGAAGCCCUAUGACAUGAAUGAGGUGUGGCAUCUGACAGUAGCAGCCCUGGAAGAAAGAGAUGCCAUUAGGAGAUACUUCUAAUGGGAACAGAUCCCAAAAAGCAUUGCCUAUGUAAAUGACAAGUAAAAGUACCAGCCUCUGGAGAGAGGUGUCCCUCAGUGACUUCAAAAUACUCAGCUUGGGUAACUAGGUAAGAAAAGGACCACCAACAUCUCUAUACUUAAUGGUGAAGUGGCAAGUGAAAAACCCAUCAUCACAGAUGACAUGUGCCAGGACAGAAGAAGCACAGAAUCUCAGAAAGGGCAAGGGAAGAGCAUCUCAGAUCAGCUGCUCUUUGCACCUGCGAAUACGUGACGUAUGUAAUUCAGACUUGCCUCAGCCUCGAUGUACGGAAACGAUAACUACUUGUGGU
Molecule: long non-coding RNA, 1499 nt
Organism: Zonotrichia albicollis (white-throated sparrow)
Lineage: Eukaryota; Metazoa; Chordata; Aves; Passeriformes; Passerellidae
Source: RefSeq, a predicted model, not a curated record